UGGGGGAAUAUUGCACAAUGGGGGGAAACCCUGAUGCAGCAACGCCGCGUGAGUGAUGAAGGCCUUCGGGUUGUAAAGCUCUGUCUUCAGGGACGAUAAUGACGGUACCUGAGGAGGAAGCCACGGCUAACUACGUGCCAGCAGCCGCGGUAAUACGUAGGUGGCAAGCGUUGUCCGGAUUUACUGGGCGUAAAGGGAGCGUAGGCGGAUGCUUAAGUCAGAUGUGAAAUACCCGGGCUCAACUUGGGUGCUGCAUUUGAAACUGGGCGUCUGGAGUGCAGGAGAGGAAAGUGGAAUUCCUAGUGUAGCGGUGAAAUGCGUAGAGAUUAGGAAGAACACCAGUGGCGAAGGCGACUUUCUGGACUGUAACUGACGCUGAGGCUCGAAAGCGUGGGGAGCAAACAGGAUUAGAUACCCUGGUAGU
RNAcentral lists this ribosomal RNA (424 nucleotides) under uncultured Clostridium sp. RNAcentral's name for it is "bacterial SSU rRNA". It matches the Rfam family "Bacterial small subunit ribosomal RNA", at positions 354 to 794 of the family's 1533-position model. Lineage: Bacteria; Bacillati; Bacillota; Clostridia; Eubacteriales; Clostridiaceae. The record is from RNAcentral.